Molecule: non-coding RNA, 236 nt
Filed under: uncultured Mallomonas
Lineage: Eukaryota; Synurophyceae; Synurales; Mallomonadaceae
Source: RNAcentral
AAGAGAAAGAAUCUAUUUCUCAUUCUUCUCUUCGUUUACCAUAUUCACAAGGAUUAUUUUUUUCUCCUCUUCGUUCUCCUUCAUCUCUUUCUUCUUCUUAUAUAAAGAGAGAGAGAGAGAAAGAAAGAAGAGAGAGAACGCAAUGAAUCUGGACAGAUUUGAUAUGAUAUGGUUAUUAAUGAAUACUAACUACUUCUUGUAUCUCUUCUAGAAAUUAAUAUAAAGAGAGAGAGAGA